This 30-nucleotide non-coding RNA is filed under the name Mus musculus (house mouse). Lineage: Eukaryota; Metazoa; Chordata; Mammalia; Rodentia; Muridae. The record is from RNAcentral.
UUGGAGGUCAAACAACCACCUGGGUACACA